Molecule: long non-coding RNA, 198 nt
Organism: Priapulus caudatus
Lineage: Eukaryota; Metazoa; Priapulida; Priapulimorpha; Priapulimorphida; Priapulidae
Exons: 3
Source: RefSeq, a predicted model, not a curated record
GACAGCCAGCAAGCAUUGCAAUAGUGAUGAUUCAGUAAAGCUGCGGCAGCAAUACUCUGCAGACAGUGAGCAAGCGUCACACCUGCUACUGGCUGGAAACCCAACACAGGCUGCACAGAAGUACAAGUGCUGUAUAGAAUUGCUGGGAAAUGUUGGGCUCCAGGUGCUUGGCGUGACGGUCAAUGAUGGCGCAUGCUA